RNAcentral lists this ribosomal RNA (472 nucleotides) under uncultured Enterobacteriaceae bacterium. RNAcentral describes it as "bacterial SSU rRNA". It matches the Rfam family "Bacterial small subunit ribosomal RNA", at positions 910 to 1382 of the family's 1533-position model. Lineage: Bacteria; Pseudomonadati; Pseudomonadota; Gammaproteobacteria; Enterobacterales; Enterobacteriaceae. The record is from RNAcentral.
UUGACGGGGGCCCGCACAAGCGGUGGAGUAUGUGGUUUAAUUCGACGCAACGCGAAGAACCUUACCUGGUCUUGACAUCCACGGAAGUUUUCAGAGAUGAGAAUGUGCCUUCGGGAACCGUGAGACAGGUGCUGCAUGGCUGUCGUCAGCUCGUGUUGUGAAAUGUUGGGUUAAGUCCCGCAACGAGCGCAACCCUUAUCCUUUGUUGCCAGCGGUCCGGCCGGGAACUCAAAGGAGACUGCCAGUGAUAAACUGGAGGAAGGUGGGAUGACGUCAAGUCAUCAUGGCCCUUACGACCAGGGCUACACACGUGCUACAAUGGCGCAUACAAAGAGAAGCGACCUCGCGAGAGCAAGCGGACCUCAUAAAGUGCGUCGUAGUCCGGAUUGGAGUCUGCAACUCGACUCCAUGAAGUCGGAAUCGCUAGUAAUCGUGGAUCAGAAUGCCACGGUCGAAUACGUUCCCGGGCCUU